Molecule: long non-coding RNA, 281 nt
Filed under: Camarhynchus parvulus
Lineage: Eukaryota; Metazoa; Chordata; Aves; Passeriformes; Thraupidae
Description: lncRNA (ENSCPVG00000009789.2)
Source: RNAcentral
CGGAGGACUCUCCCGCCGCCCCUCUCUAUGGUCCGCCCGCCACGCGGCGCCGCUCGGCCCCGCCCCGCUCCGCCGCCGGAGGCGUGGCCGAUCCGCUCAUGAAUAUGCAUGACAGCGGCGGUGGAGGCCCCGGUGAGUCACGGGAGAGGCGGUGGCGGCAGCGUGAGACCCGUGGGGACAGUAACCCCUCCUCCCCGCCCGCUGUGCGCCCCCCACGUGUGUCCCCGGCCCGCCCCCGACAUGAGGCUGCUGUGGGGAAGGGGCUGACCCCGUGCUGAGCC